RNAcentral lists this long non-coding RNA (199 nucleotides) under Brassica napus (rape). RNAcentral's name for it is "long non-coding RNA (BNAP_LNC025026)". Lineage: Eukaryota; Viridiplantae; Streptophyta; Magnoliopsida; Brassicales; Brassicaceae. The record is from RNAcentral.
GAGUAUCACGCUGUAGAAGAGAUUAGAGAAGUGUAUUCUCAUUAAGUUCUUGGAUAUGUGUUACAAAUGAGGCUUUCAUCACACCUUUUAUAUACAUGACCACCUGCUCAAGAGUCGGUGGAGAGAAAACUGAUCUAACGACUGAGAUCUAUUCCUUACUCUCUAUUAUACUUUCCUAAUGCUUAUCUAUUCCUUACUC